AGAGUUUGAUCAUGGCUCAGGAUGAACGCUAGCGGCAGGCUUAAUACAUGCAAGUCGAACGGGAUUUAGGGUAGCAAUACUUUAAUGAGAGUGGCGCACGGGUGCGUAACACGUAUGCAACCUACCUUUAACUGGAAGAUAGCCCCGGGAAAUCGGGAUUAAUAUUUCAUAACAAUGCGCGAUGGCAUCAUCAUGCAUUUAAAGCUCCGGCGGUUAAAGAUGGGCAUGCGGGACAUUAGCUUGUUGGUGAGGUAACGGCUCACCAAGGCGAUGAUGUCUAGGGGUCCUGAGAGGGUUAUCCCCCACACUGGUACUGAGACACGGACCAGACUCCUACGGGAGGCAGCAGUAAGGAAUAUUGGUCAAUGGGCGCAAGCCUGAACCAGCCAUGCCGCGUGCAGGAAGACGGCCCUAUGGGUUGUAAACUGCUUUUGUCAGGGAAUAAACCCCCGUACGUGUACGGGGCUGAAGGUACCUGAAGAAUAAGCAUCGGCUAACUCCGUGCCAGCAGCCGCGGUAAUACGGAGGAUGCAAGCGUUAUCCGGAUUCAUUGGGUUUAAAGGGUGCGCAGGCGGAUUGAUAAGUCAGGGGUGAAAUCCCACAGCUCAACUGUGGAACUGCCUUUGAUACUGUUAGUCUUGAGUAUAGUUGAAGUGGGCGGAAUGUGUCAUGUAGCGGUGAAAUGCUUAGAUAUGACACAGAACACCGAUCGCGAAGGCAGCUCGCUAAGCUAUAACUGACGCUCAUGCACGAAAGCGUGGGGAUCAAACAGGAUUAGAUACCCUGGUAGUCCACGCCGUAAACGAUGAUUACUCGAUGUUGGCGAUAUACAGUCAGCGUCUGAGCGAAAGCAAUAAGUAAUCCACCUGGGGAGUACGAUCGCAAGAUUGAAACUCAAAGGAAUUGACGGGGGCCG
This 916-nucleotide ribosomal RNA is filed under the name uncultured Bacteroidota bacterium. RNAcentral describes it as "bacterial SSU rRNA". It matches the Rfam family "Bacterial small subunit ribosomal RNA", at positions 8 to 922 of the family's 1533-position model. Lineage: Bacteria; Pseudomonadati; Bacteroidota. The record is from RNAcentral.